GGCAGCCUUAUUAUAAAGGUAGGAUUUUUCUUUUUCAUGCAUGGGUUCUUGUAUUUCUUUUUAUGUAUUUAGCGGGGGGGAGUGAAUAGUGAUUAAAAAGAAGAUCAAGCAGGUAGGUAUUUAAUUCGACUGAUCUUCGUAUGAUACUAAGUGAGCUGUGGUCAUCUUCCCAGUCUAUCAACUUGGUGGUGGCGUAACACUGACUGCAAUGAUUCUUGCACUGGUCUCUCUCACUGCAUGAAUCGGUUCACUUCAUAUAAAUCAGUAUGACUGUGAAUUCACAGCCAUGCCAGUUUAUUUAAGUAAACGGGUUUUCCUGUGAACCAGACUUUAGGAAGAAAGUUUUAGUCAGUUCUUCCGUUGCCAAAUUGAUUGAUUUCGAGGAUUGCUAUACCUUAUUUAGUUUCGCGCGAAAAUCAGAUUAAAUGUUUUUAAAAGAAGGUAAGUAAUUUACUAUAGGCGCGAGUUUGCUUAUUAUUGUUCAUGAGAUAAAAGAUGAGUUAACGAGAGAGACGAACGGUAAUUUAUAUUGUAAAUUGUUUAAUAAACGAACAGCGCCCGCAAGUGCUUUUAGAAAACACGAUGGGCCUAACUAGUCUUUUCGAUUGUUCACAGGGCACCUUUGGGCGAGGAACCAACUUCUGUAAUGGGUCACUGCUUCCAGUCUGCUUUCGUUCCUGUUGCACACGGUUCAGGCGCAUGAGUUACUAUCAUCUCACGACGUCGGGAUACCAGUUCCAGAACGUGAACGGGUGUGAGUAGCAGCGUGCCGCCUCUCCACUCCAGGCGAGACCGAACUAUAAGGCUAAAGGAUUCCAGAAGGGCAGCCUUAUAAAGGUAGGAUUUUUUCUAUUCUAAGCAUGAUCUAUUGUUUUUUUGUGUAUUUAGCAGUGGGGGAAAAGUGAAUAGUGCAUAUAGUGACUAAAGUGAAAAUCAAAUAAUACUGUCGCGUUAUAAUCAUAAGUGAGGCGUCGCCAUUUUCUUAGCCUAUCAUCCUAGGGACGGGGGACUGAUCGCGAUGAUCCUUUGGACGGUCUCGUUCGCGAUAUCUUUCGGUUUAUUUCAUUGAAUCAGUAUGACUAUGAAUUCAUGGCCAUACCGGUUUUGUGACCUAAACAGAGUUUGUCUGCGAAUCGGGCUGAGGGAAUAUUGCAGCCAAUCAUUCCGCCCCCAUGGUGAAUGUCUUCGACAAUGGUUAUACCUCAUUUUUUUGGUUUCUAAAGGUGAGUGAUUGAAGCACUAUAGACGUACCUAUUCUUUUAUUAAUCAUUUAGUCUUGAUGUUGAUCUGAGCUAGUUGAUUAUUGAAAGAACACGUCUAGCAUGUACUUUAAUGUGGUUACUAAUUUCUAUGAUUGUUCGCAGCGCCAGUGGUGGGUCUACUCCAGAGGUAGUCAUCUUCUGUGGUGGAUUCAAGUUCGAUGGUUCAACCUAAAGUCAUAAGUUAUUGGUAAUGGAUCUGAUGUCUGUACCUCACCAUCGCCGUUUGCCAGUGGUCUACGAACGUUCGGUUGUGGUGCCCCUUUUUCGGUUAAUGAUCUUCUCAGGCUAGAGCGAAUUAAUAAGGCUAAAGG
This is a long non-coding RNA of Photinus pyralis (common eastern firefly), 1573 nucleotides long. RefSeq lists it as uncharacterized. Lineage: Eukaryota; Metazoa; Arthropoda; Insecta; Coleoptera; Lampyridae. The transcript has 4 exons. The record is from RefSeq and is a predicted model, not a curated record.